This 253-nucleotide ribosomal RNA is filed under the name uncultured bacterium. Its description in RNAcentral is "partial 16S ribosomal RNA". It matches the Rfam family "Bacterial small subunit ribosomal RNA", at positions 524 to 776 of the family's 1533-position model. The record is from RNAcentral.
UACGAAGGGGGCUAGCGUUGUUCGGAAUCACUGGGCGUAAAGCGCACGUAGGCGGAUUGUUAAGUCGGGGGUGAAAUCCUGAGGCUCAACCUCAGAACUGCCUCCGAUACUGGCAAUCUCGAGUUCGGAAGAGGUUGGUGGGACAGCUAGUGUAGAGGUGAAAUUCGUAGAUAUUAGCUAGAACACCAGUGGCGAAGGCGGCCAACUGGUCCGACACUGACGCUGAGGUGCGAAAGCGUGGGGAGCAAACAGG